RNAcentral lists this ribosomal RNA (1089 nucleotides) under Triticum aestivum (bread wheat). RNAcentral describes it as "partial small subunit ribosomal RNA". The record is from RNAcentral. Lineage: Eukaryota; Viridiplantae; Streptophyta; Magnoliopsida; Poales; Poaceae.
AUGUAUUGGUUGCCCCCUGGCUGUCAACUUAAUGAAGAUGGUGCAAGGCAUUUGUCCAAUGAUGCAGACAUAGAUCUGAUGUAUCUACAGGUCAAUCAAGAGCAUAGAUUUCAUAUCAUUUACCUUGAUCAUUUGGAUGGCCACAUUUCAGGAGGUGGAUCAGCAUGGGGUGAUGUUACGGCUAAUCCAAUAUGUCAUUUGCCUGUUGUUUUCAGUCCCAACAAGAAGCUAAUCAAUGCAGAUCAGAGCAUGGUAUCUUCUAGUGUUGUUGAGGAAAGCAAUGAAAUUCAGAGCAAUGAACAAGUGCAUGUCAGGUUGAGACCUAGAGGACAGAAGUUAGAAGAUGAGCCAGAAGAAUAUAGUGAUAGUGAUUCAGACAGUGAUUACAUACCAGAAAUUGUUGACAGUGACUACGACUUAGAGGAUGGGGAUGAUGAUUUGGCACAGGAGCAGUUGCACCCUUUGCAAGACAAGAAAGGGAAGAAAGUGAUUGAAGAGUGCAACUCUGAAGAUGAUACAUUGGAUGCUCCGGAUUCAGAUGAAGAUGAGAUAAAAUUCAAUUUCAAGUCUUUCACACCAUCAGACAUGCAUGACCCCAAGUUCCAUGUUGGGCAGUUGUUCUCAUCAGUUGAGCUCUUGAGGAAGGCUAUUAGAGAGUACACUUGCAAGGAAAGGGUGAAUAUUACAUUUCCAAAGAACGAUAAAGGGAGGCUUGGUGCAAAGUGUGAGAAGGGAUGCCCUUGGUACCUGUAUGCAUCUUGGGACAAUAGGACAAAUGCAAUCAUGGUGAAGACAUUCAAUGGUGAGCACAAUUGCGAGAAGAAGUGGCAAGUUACAGCAUUUACUGCCAGGUACAUUGCUAAAAAGUACGUCGACAAAAUCAGGGCGUUUGUGAGCGAGGAGGUUGUCAUGCCGGCUGUUGUAUUGGUCACCGUUGAGACGCGUUGCGGCAAGCCGCCGUUGGAGGUGCUGCGGUCGGAGGUGUGCCCGUUGAGACGUGUUGCAACGUUGCGGUGUGCUGCCGUUAGAGUGCAUGGACCAGCCCUUGAUUGCAUUUUCAGUCCUGGACAUUUGGUCUAUGAUUGCUAG